This 468-nucleotide ribosomal RNA is filed under the name uncultured bacterium. RNAcentral describes it as "partial 16S ribosomal RNA". It matches the Rfam family "Bacterial small subunit ribosomal RNA", at positions 28 to 507 of the family's 1533-position model. The record is from RNAcentral.
GACGAACGCUGGCGGCGUGCUUAACACAUGCAAGUCGAACGGAAAGGCCCUGCUUUUGUGGGGUGCUCGAGUAGCGAACGGGUGAGUAACACGUGAGUAACCUGCCCUUGACUUUGGGAUAACUUCAGGAAACUGGGGCUAAUACCGGAUAGGAGCUCCUGCUGCAUGGUGGGGGUUGGAAAGUUUCGGCGGUUGGGGAUGGACUCGCGGCUUAUCAGCUUGUUGGUGGGGUAGUGGCUUACCAAGGCUUUGACGGGUAGCCGGCCUGAGAGGGUGACCGGCCACAUUGGGACUGAGAUACGGCCCAGACUCCUACGGGAGGCAGCAGUGGGGAAUAUUGCACAAUGGGCGGAAGCCUGAUGCAGCAACGCCGCGUGCGGGAUGACGGCCUUCGGGUUGUAAACCGCUUUCGCCUGUGACGAAGCGUGAGUGACGGUAAUGGGUAAAGAAGCACCGGCUAACUACGUG